UGUCCCAGAACAUCUCCAGGGGGUUUGGGGUGUCCCAGAACAUCUCCAGGGGGUUUUGGGGUGUCCCAGAACAUCUCCAGAGGGUUUGGGGGUGUCCCAGAACAUCUCCAGAGGGUUUGGGGUGUCCUAAAACAUCUCCAGGGGGUUUGGGGUGUCCCAAAACAUCUCCAGGGGGUUGGGGGUGUCCUAAAACAUCUCCAGAGGGUUUUGAGGUGUCCCAGAGCAUCUCCAGAGGGUUUUGAGGUGUCCCAGAACAUCUCCAGAGGGUUUUGAGGUGUCCCAGAACAUCUCCAGGGGGUUUGGGGGUCUCACAUUGGUGGGUCCUGGGUGAUCUGAGAAGGUUCCAAGACUUUGGGGUGUCCAGGGUGGCAUUUGUCCCCAUUUGUCCCUGUUUGUCCCUGUUUGUCCCCGUUUGUCCCCAAGGGAUGGAGGUGGCCCCAUGGACAACAUCUCCAGAGGGUUUGGGGGAUGUCCCAAAACAUCUCCAGAGGGUUUGGGGGUGUCCCAGAACAUCUCCAGGGGGUUUGGGGUGUCCCAGAACAUCUCCAGAUGGUUUUGGGGUGUCUCACUUUGUUGGGUUCUGGGUGACCUGAGAGGGUUCCAAGAGUUUGGGAUGUCCAGGGUGGCUUUGUCCCCAUUUGUCCCUGUUUGUCCCCAGGGGAUGGAGGUGGUCCCAUGGAUGACAUCUCCAGAGGGUUUGGGGUGUCCCAAAACAUCUCCAGAGGGUUUGGGGUGUCCCAGAACAUCUCCAGGGGGUUUGGGGGUGUCCCAGAACAUCUCCAGAGGGUUUGGGGGUGUCCUAAAACAUCUCCAGGGGGUUUGGGGGUGUCCCAGAACAUCUCCAGAGGGUUUUGGGGUGUCUCACUUUGGUGGGUUCUGGGUGACUUCAGAGGGUUCCAAGAGUUUGGGGUGUCCAGGGUGGCUUUGUCCCCAUUUGUCCCUGUUUGUCCCCAAGGGAUGGAGGUGGUCCCAUGGAUGACAUCUCCAGAGGGUUUGGGGUGUCCCAGAAUAUCUCCAGGAGGUUUGGGGUGUCCCAGAAGAUCUCCAGAGGGUUUGGGGGUGUCCCAGAAUAUCUCCAGUGGUUUUGGGGUGUCUCACUUUGGUGGGUCCUGGGUGACCUAAUAG
This 1125-nucleotide long non-coding RNA is filed under the name Zonotrichia albicollis (white-throated sparrow). RNAcentral's name for it is "lncRNA (ENSZALG00000009778.1)". The record is from RNAcentral. Lineage: Eukaryota; Metazoa; Chordata; Aves; Passeriformes; Passerellidae.